Molecule: non-coding RNA, 19 nt
Filed under: Rattus norvegicus (Norway rat)
Lineage: Eukaryota; Metazoa; Chordata; Mammalia; Rodentia; Muridae
Source: RNAcentral
GAGUGACCUAUUUGAGGAC